This is a long non-coding RNA of Pseudopipra pipra, 4102 nucleotides long. RefSeq lists it as uncharacterized. The transcript is spliced from 3 exons. The record is from RefSeq and is a predicted model, not a curated record. NCBI's taxonomy places the organism in Eukaryota, Metazoa, Chordata, Aves, Passeriformes, Pipridae.
CCAGUCCACCUGCAUUUCUUAACUAUGAAAAAGUGAAGACAUUGCCACUUACCUCUUUCAUCUAUCCGAGCAAGAACAGCCUGUGAAAUUCGCCUUCCAAAACAUUCAGGCCUCGUAGACAACCUGUGCUGGGCUGGUAGAAAGGUCAUUUGUGGGUAAUCUGUGUUCCCGUGAGCUCUGCAUAGGCUGGAGCUGAAGUGAGCUUCAGAGCAGUACAACACAGACAUCCCUUCUGGCUCUGCCUUACUCUUCAGUUAUUAGGCUGCGGUGUGGAACCUGAAGAGACUAUGCAACCCAAAACUGCCACAGAGAGUUACACAGCCUUUUCUGUGUUCUGUUGCCUCCCAGCAACUAAUUUACAUCACAAUACAUUUGAAUCUGUAUUGCAUGUGUGACAAUCUUAUUAACAUCCUAUUCUCUUGUGUGCUACAGUAUCUUUCCUAUACAUGCUGGAGGAAAUAUUGCUCAUUUGGAUUUUCGAAGAGAAAGACAUUUUAAGGACACUGAAAGAGGUACAAGGCCAUGGCAGCUCACAAAUAGUGCAGGUGCAUGGAUCUAAGGAAGGCUGGCAGGCAGUAAUUCCCACUUUGGAAAACCAGGGAAAAGGCAGCAAUCCAGGGACUGAAGGGACACAUAUAGAAGAGAUUCUGAGGGAAGAAGGAAGAAUGGAGAAUCCACAGUUCAACUCAAUCCUACUCCACAGCCCUCCGGAGAACAUAGAAAUAGCACUGUCACCCUGGGCCACGGAGCCUGACCUCAAAAGGGAGCUGAAAGAAUGAACAUGCUUAAGUUCUUAAGGUGCUGAAAUAAUACAACAUUAAGAUCUAAGUAUGGAGGUCCUUGUUCCUUUCCAUCCUGGGCAGAGGCAUGGACCGUGUAAUUCUUUUAUUAUAAGGCAACAAAAGUUGGAGGAAGUUUUUACCAGCACUGUCUUUGCUUAACGCAGAGCAGCCGCAGCCUCUCUCCCUGCCUCCAGAACACUCUCCUUCAGACACAUCCUGCUGAGACAGUGCACUUUAUCAGUGUUCCCACUACAGAACUACAUCCUCAAGGAAGAAGUGUGCCUUGCUUUAGCUGGAAAAAAGUGUCCGCUUUUUGAUGUGGAAAAGGAGUAAAUUAUAUAAAUCUACAGGAUUUUUUCCCCUCCAUGUUGUGUAAAUAUUCAAAAUACAUUAACUUUCCUAAAUACGGAGAAAAAAGGUUAGGUUAAAGGAAAGAAGACAAUGACGAGGGAAAAAAAAAAAGAUGUUGAAUUUGCAACAUCACUGGUUUUUGUUCAAAAGUGGAAGCUGUCUAUCUGAAAUACAAACAACAAGAAAAAACAGACAAGAUAGGUGUAGGAGUUGCAGAGCUUAAAUUACAUUUAAAAUAAUUCAAAUGUUAUGAAUUAUAAGCCCAUAUUAUGAUCAUUAGAAUGCCUAAACUAACAGGCAUUUACUUUAACCCUAAGGACCUUAACCAGGCUCUUUAGUGAAACAGUAAAAUUCUGAUUACAAUUGGAUUCCAAUUACUGUAUUCGAGAAUAGGUAAAAUAUUUUUCCCAAGUGUCAUUGGAAAGACAAAUAUUAAAAGGUCAGAUAAUAAAUAUUUAAUUUAUUAAUUUUAAAUAUACAUUGUAACAUGUUAUUAACAGAUAGUCUCGAUUUAAGACUAAAAGAAUAAAUGCUGAAAAGUGAAAAAAACAAACAUUUUCUUUACUGCUUUUACUGCAAAAAUAAGUUAAACAUUGUCAAUAAAAUCAUUACCAAAAGUUUCACAAAACAAACUUUUUUUUCAGCAGAUACUUUGGGGAUUUAUACGAAUGUGGCUGAACUGAAUAUUUUGUUGCUUUACGUGUCUGGGGUGCAACAGGAAAGUUCCGAUGUUGUUAACAGUGUUGUGAAAACAAUAAUCAGUAAAAAUUUGACCAAAACUCUGGGGGUUUAUUUUAUUUUUAGGACUGUAAGCAUUUUAGGGCAUGAACCACCUCUUUGUUGGCAUCAUAGUAAGCAUAAUAGUUCUGGUCUGUGACCAAGCCUUCUAGCCAGGGCAAGAAAAAUAACGGAUUAUUUACUUAGUGCAUAGGGAAUGGUCCAGCUAGCUUUUCCUCCUGAAGAGAAGGUCUAGCCUAAGGGAGAAAGAAACUAAUAGUGUUCAAAGAGCUGCCAGAAACCCUUGAGACUGCCCCCCAAACCUCCAACCUAAACGACCUCCCAGGGAGGGGAGAUAGAGGGGAAGAGCAGUGAUGCAGCUUGACACCACUGUUUGCUCUGCAUUUUCUGAAUUUACACUAGUGAGAUUGACACUUCAUAAAAAUGAUAAAGUAUGUUUGGUUUUGCUUCUUCUACCACAACUGAACAUAAACUGGUUUAUAUUAAAUUAUAUUUUUAUUUGCUUCUAUGCUGUUUACUCCCCCCUUCUGACUGAGGAUUUAACAUAAUUUCUGCUCAGAAAAAAUUCAGAUUUUUCCUCCUCACAAAAGCCAUUGGACUCCUUAGGGACUUCAUUUUUUUCAAAUGUGUUUUCAACUGCAUGUUUAAUUUCUGUGUAAAAUUACUGUGAUUGUGUGUGAGGUGCUUAGCUAGCCAUUUAUGGCUGUGCAUAUCUCAUUUUCAUACAUAAUUGCAUGUAAAUUAUGCAUAAGAAUUAUGCAUCUAAUUACAUAUACAUUUUUUAAAAUCAACUCUAUCUGUUGUUAAAUCGCAUGACUUCUUUUUUCACACAUGGCAUUUUUGAUCCAGCUCUCUUAUGCAAUUUCUGAGAAAGAAUAUCAUAACCAGAAGUUUGAUAAGAAAUAGCUUCCUUUUUAUCCCUUAAAUGUAUUAGUACUCUUCAUUUGCCUUGUUAUGCCAGCAGAAUACACACAUCCAAUAAAUGUCUUCUGCAUUUAGCAAAAAUUUCACUUUGUGAUUUAAUUAUUUUCAAAAGCAAUUGACUGUUGUAUAUAGUCACCUGUAUUUUAUUUAAAAACUAAUAUUACUUCCGUUUUCUUCACUAUACAAGGGAAAUUAAUGUCAGUAUGUUUAUUCUGAGUAAGAGAACCUAGCACAGGAGACUCUGAUCUACAAUUUGAGGCCCCUUUGUGCUCCAAUAAAAAUACUGAUGAUAUCAACAAACCAUAUUAAUUUUUCAUUUCAGGAACUGAACCUUCUAUUUCUAUUUUAUAAUGACAAGUAGCUUGUUAAAACAUCAACAAACCCAAAACUCAAUAAACCUCACAGUCUGGAAGCAAUAAAACCUUAAACUGUCUGGGUUAGCAGAGACUUAAUACCUGACUCUCAUUUAGCAACUCACAGAGAUAUUCUAAUGUCUGAAACUGAAUUCAUCUGACAAAGUUACAUAGAUCUCAGUUCUAAAACUGCAGUAUAUUUAAUUUAAAAUAUCACAGGCACAUUGGUAAUGAGCUAUCUGUUCAUAUCUGAGACUUUCAACUAUAAUAUUAUUUGCAACCUUUGUUAAGAAUUUCUGACACUUCCACUAUUAUGUGGAAGGCUUGAGAUUCAGCAAUAAAAACUCUUUUUACUCCUGAAAGAUCCCAUGUACCUUCGGUCAGGAUAAGCUAAUGAAAAAGACACCAUCCUCCUCUCCCUUUUUUCUGAUCCAAGAAGUAGUGCAUGCAAAAAUGAGUAACUCAGCACAAAUAUUGUGAGCCUGGAGCCCACACUGUUACAGAAGCAAAAUAACAGGGAAUAUGCAGGUGUUGCCACAGCAACCUUCAUGGAGGUGUAAGGGAAGGAAAGAAAAUGCCAAAUCAGGGUCCUCACAACAACUCUUCUGAACACAGGGAGUGAGAAUAUGGUGGCUUUUCUUCAUCUUUGGAAGCACCAGCUGAGGAAGGACAAAAAAGCUGUGCCAAGUCAGUCUCUACACACAGUACUUUGGACUGUGAAACCUCCUGACAUCUUUCACUUCUGGAUAACUCUUUUCUGGAUAACACUGAACUUAUCUCAAAUGUCAGGAGACUGUUUUGCCUUGCUAAAAGCUCAAGCUCUUACAAUGAUUCAGAUGGGAGAAAUCUAUGCUUUUAGUUUUCUCUCUUAAAAUUACAUCUGUAAGAAAAUACCCAUAUACUACUAUGUUAAGAUAAAAUUACUGAGGUUGCAUGUCAAAAUGCUAAAGUUAC